Molecule: ribosomal RNA, 497 nt
Filed under: uncultured bacterium
Lineage: Bacteria
Description: partial 16S ribosomal RNA
Rfam family: Bacterial small subunit ribosomal RNA
Source: RNAcentral
GAUGAACGCUGGCGGCGUGCCUAAUACAUGCAAGUCGAGCGAACAGACGAGGAGCUUGCUCCUCUGACGUUAGCGGCGGACGGGUGAGUAACACGUGGAUAACCUACCUAUAAGACUGGGAUAACUUCGGGAAACCGGAGCUAAUACCGGAUAAUAUAUUGAACCGCAUGGUUCAAUAGUGAAAGACGGUUUUGCUGUCACUUAUAGAUGGAUCCGCGCCGCAUUAGCUAGUUGGUAAGGUAACGGCUUACCAAGGCAACGAUGCGUAGCCGACCUGAGAGGGUGAUCGGCCAAACUGGAACUGAGACACGGUCCAGACUCCUAAGGGAGGCAGCAGUAGGGAAUCUUCAGCAAUGGGCGAAAGCCUGACGGAGCAACGCCGCGUGAGUGAUGAAGGUCUUCGGAUCGUAAAACUCUGUUAUUAGGGAAGAACAAAUGUGUAAGUAACUAUGCACGUCUUGACGGUACCUAAUCAGAAAGCCACGGCUAACUACGUG